Eublepharis macularius is the source of this 944-nucleotide long non-coding RNA. RefSeq lists it as uncharacterized. Lineage: Eukaryota; Metazoa; Chordata; Lepidosauria; Squamata; Eublepharidae. The transcript has 2 exons. The record is from RefSeq and is a predicted model, not a curated record.
AAAGCCAGAAGAAGUCCUCAGACAACCAAAGCUGUGAGUUUCAGAGAGGAGGAGCCGACUGCCUUCCCAAGGAAGCAGAAGACAGCAAUUUCCAGCCACUAGGUCUGGAUCCUUCUGUGUGGUAUCAACAUGUCUAGCAGUCAUUCAGGAUCUGGUCCUACUGGCCCACCGGGGGUCCCCCCUGUGCCAAACCCCAACAAUCCUUUGGUUCCAGUUCCAGAGCAACCUUGGCCAGUGGGACCUCCCAAACCUACAGAUCCUCAACCACUGGGACCUCUAGUGCCUGGGAAGCCUUGGCCAGAAGGACCUCCUGUAUCUCCAGAACCUAGACCCCCAGGAUUUCCUCAACCACCAUUAGGACCCAACAGCCCGCAACCAUUUCCAAGACCAUCCAGUCCUCCUAAGCCACCCUUGCCAGAUGAGCCAUAUGGACCUUCUCCUCUACUUCCUGUAGUACCUUGGCCACCCCUGCCUGAGUGGGAUGAUUCAGGAAAACCUCCUAAGGACCGUUCCAAUGAAAAUUAAUUUUCUUCCAGUUGUUUCCUUCAGAGACUCCUUUUUGCUGCUGUAGGACCACACCUUGCCUUUCUCUACACAUUCCAACCAUAUUAUCUUGAUGGUUCUUGAAAAAAGAACUAAGGUCCACCAUAUGUGUUAUCUGUUGAUGAAGCAAUUUAAUAUUUUAUGAAGAUGCUGAACAAAUGUCCAUCCACCUUCUAAUCAACCAGCCCAUCUACCAGUAUAGUAAUGUAUUCUGACUUACGGUUUUUAUUGUCUUUCAGUUAAUCUAAUUUGCAUGCACAUCUAUCAAUGUAUGUAUUUAUUUAGUCUUUCUGUCAUAGCCAAAGUUAAUCUGGAUACAAUUUCAGCUGAUUUAAUAAGUGGUAGCAGGUGGUUGUGACAUAUUGUAAAAGAGGUUUCCAAUAAAAUAUUUGAAUUUGAAA